CAUUCCGUCCAAAACACAACAUUAGGGUAGGCGACAUUUAACGUAUAUAUCUAUGGACGCUAACUAGUAUUCACGUAUCAUGCUCAACUCUUAAUAUUCUUUUACGCACUUUGAGAGUGUUUGCGUUAUUUCAGAGAGAUAUUUAAGCACAUAUGAAGUAGCAGUGCCGUCUGUGUACUAUAGUUACACAAUGCAGCAUUUAGCUCGCUCGUAAACAUCGCUGCUGUCCUCAGAUCAUUGUCUGAGCAGAAGUUUCAUCAUAAGCCCUGACUGUCAGAUGCUCUUCAUCUCAGGAGCUGUAUUUUUAUAUGCUUGAUAACAGAUAUAAGCGAGAAGAGGCUUAAUCCAAAGCCCGAGAAGAAGCAGAGAAACAGAGGAUCGAACGAGAGAAACACUUCCAGAAGGAGGAGCUGGAAUGCUUGGAAAGAAAUAAGCGUCUGGAAGAAAUCCUGAAGAGGACUCAUAAGAGUGACGCAGGAGCACACGUGAGAU
Molecule: non-coding RNA, 492 nt
Organism: Danio rerio (zebrafish)
Lineage: Eukaryota; Metazoa; Chordata; Actinopteri; Cypriniformes; Danionidae
Source: RefSeq, a predicted model, not a curated record